Long non-coding RNA from Conger conger (European conger), 1127 nucleotides. RefSeq lists it as uncharacterized. NCBI's taxonomy places the organism in Eukaryota, Metazoa, Chordata, Actinopteri, Anguilliformes, Congridae. The record is from RefSeq and is a predicted model, not a curated record. The transcript is spliced from 10 exons.
UAAGGUGAGUGUAAGUUAAUAUAUUUGCCUAACUGUAAAUUUCUUAAAUUUGAAUGCUGGAUUGAAUGAGUUAAUAAUCACGUGUUAUAUUAUUUGUAUUCGUAUACAAAAGUAAUCAUUUAACGCUAAUUCACAAUAAUGCAGCAAAAUAGACAGGACGUUACUGCUGCAGAACUGCAGUCGGCUAACGCGUAGCGGAUAUGAAUCCAUCGCAAUCUGAUCAUAAUUAUUCCAGUUUUACCCAUUUUAUCUUCAUAAUAUUAAUGUGUUAAGAUUCGUUAUUUCGCAAGUAUUUCGAGUUUUUGCACAAUGUAUUUUUGCACUUCGAAAAGAAGGUAAAUCGGUACCGCGUGUUAGCACGGACAGUAGAUCGCUACCUAAAUGUCUCGCUUGCUAGUGAAAGAGCUUCCUCAGUGAUGAUAACUUUCACAGACCUGUACUGAACUACUGUGAUUGCAAUUAUAUUUUCUGACGAGGAACUACAACUACAAGUUUGCAAGCCUGUUGGCUAACUAGCUAAGGCGCAACUUCACACCGGUAGUCACAUGGGCCUUCGACGUGCGAGGUUGUUCCACGUGUUUGGAAGCGGGUUCAUGUGGGUUUUGUUCUCCUCCGUAGGUCUAGUCCGGAAAUGGACGUCCAGGAAGAAAGAACUAUGCAACGUGCCAUUCCUGUGAAAGAUGGCAUGCAUUUUCAUAAUGAUCUCCGCUGAUGAGACCACUGUUUGCGUAAUCAAUGGUACCAUGCCAGGUGUGAUGACUCCAAGAUGGACUCUUUGGGAUUACUUGUCCUGAGACUAAUGGUGGCCUGCCCUGCUGCUGUGACCUAAAGUCUCUGCUUGGUUGUAAGAUGGUGGAAACCCCAGGCUGACUCUGGAAAUGGAUGGAGGAUUUCCUUCCAUGCGGACCUGUGACUCAACUGUCGGCUAGUACUAUUGCUAGUAUGACCUUAAGGAGCUGCAGACUGGAACCUGUCCUAAGUGUUACCCUAAGGAUCUGUAAACUGGAACCUGCCUUAAGGGCCUUCCAAGAUGACUGGAAUUGCAUGGGUGCAAUGGAUCAAUUCAACCUCUUGUAAACUGGACAACCAGUGCUAGUUGAUGCUUAAAUAAAGGUGUGCAAAACCUG